AUUGAACGCUGGCGGCAUGCUUUACACAUGCAAGUCGAACGGUAACAGGUUAAGCUGACGAGUGGCGAACGGGUGAGUAAUGCAUCGGAACGUGCCCGGUCGUGGGGGAUAACGCAGCGAAAGCUGCGCUAAUACCGCAUACGAUCUGAGGAUGACAGCGGGGGACCGUAAGGCCGCCCGCGACCGGCGCGCCCGAUGUCAGAUUAGGUAGUUGGUGGGGUAAAGGCUCACCAAGCCGACGAUCUGUAGCUGGUCUGAGAGGACGACCAGCCACACUGGGACUGAGACACGGCCCAGACUCCUACGGGAGGCAGCAGUGGGGAAUUUUGGACAAUGGGCGCAAGCCUGAUCCAGCAAUGCCGCGUGCAGGAAGAAGGCCUUCGGGUUGUAAACUGCUUUUGUACGGAGCGAAAAGGCUCUCUCUAAUACAGGGGGCUCAUGACGGUACCGUUAGAAUAAGCACCGGCUAACUACGUGCCAGCAGCCGCCGUAA
This 493-nucleotide ribosomal RNA is filed under the name uncultured bacterium. RNAcentral's name for it is "partial 16S ribosomal RNA". It matches the Rfam family "Bacterial small subunit ribosomal RNA", at positions 29 to 523 of the family's 1533-position model. The record is from RNAcentral.